CCUACGGGCGGCAGCAGUGAGGAAUAUUGGUCAAUGGGCGCGAGCCUGAACCAGCCAAGUCGCGUGAAGGAAGACUGCCCUACGGGUUGUAAACUUCUUUUGUAAAGGAGUAAAGUGCGCCACGAGUGGCUCUGUGAAAGUACCUUAUGAAUAAGGAUCGGCUAACUCCGUGCCAGCAGCCGCGGUAAUACGGAGGAUGCGAGCGUUAUCCGGAUUUAUUGGGUUUAAAGGGGGCGCAGACGGAUGGGUAAGUCAAGUGGGAAAGUUUGGGGCUCAAACGUAGAAGAGCCGUUGAAACUGGUAGUCUAGAGUGGGGGAGAAGUAUGCGGAAUGCGUGGUGUAGCGGUGAAAUGCAUAGAUAUCACGCAGAACUCCGAUUGCGAAGGCAGCAUACCGGAGCGCAACUGACGCUCAUGCACGAAAGCGUGGGUAUCGAACAGGAUUAGAUACCCUUGUAGUC
RNAcentral lists this ribosomal RNA (460 nucleotides) under uncultured bacterium. Its description in RNAcentral is "partial 16S ribosomal RNA". It matches the Rfam family "Bacterial small subunit ribosomal RNA", at positions 338 to 795 of the family's 1533-position model. The record is from RNAcentral.